RNAcentral lists this ribosomal RNA (464 nucleotides) under uncultured bacterium. RNAcentral describes it as "bacterial SSU rRNA". It matches the Rfam family "Bacterial small subunit ribosomal RNA", at positions 330 to 792 of the family's 1533-position model. The record is from RNAcentral.
UCCAGACUCCUACGGGAGGCAGCAGUGAGGAAUAUUGGUCAAUGGUCGGGGGACUGAACCAGCCAAGCCGCGUGAGGGAUGAAGGUACAGAGUAUCGUAAACCUCUUUUGUCAGGGAACAAAGGCGGGGACGUGUCCCCGGAUGAGUGUACCUGAAGAAAAAGCAUCGGCUAACUCCGUGCCAGCAGCCGCGGUAAUACGGAGGAUGCGAGCGUUAUCCGGAUUUAUUGGGUUUAAAGGGUACGCAGGCGGCGAGUUAAGUCAGGGUUAAAAUGUCGGGGCACAACCCCGACAAGCCGUUGAAACUGGCUUGUUAGAGUGGGCGAGAAGUAUGCGGAAUGCGUGGUGUAGCGGUGAAAUGCAUAGAUAUCACGCAGAACUCCGAUUGCGAAGGCAGCAUACCGGCGCCCAACUGACGCUCAGGCACGAAAGCGUGGGUAUCGAACAGGAUUAGAUACCCGUGUA